CAAACCGACACAGGUAGUCAAGAUGAGAAUGCUAAGGUGAGCGAGCGAACUCUCGUUAAGGAACUCGGCAAAAUGACCCCGUAACUUCGGGAGAAGGGGUGCUCUUUAGGGUUAACGCCCAGAAGAGCCGCAGUGAAUAGGCCCAAGCGACUGUUUAUCAAAAACACAGGUCUCUGCUAAACCGUAAGGUGAUGUAUAGGGGCUGACGCCUGCCCGGUGCUGGAAGGUUAAGAGGAGUGGUUAGCUUCUGCGAAGCUACGAAUCGAAGCCCCAGUAAACGGCGGCCGUAACUAUNNCUUGUCGGGUAAGUUCCGACCCGCACGAAAGGCGUAACGAUUUGGGCACUGUCUCAACGAGAGACUCGGUGAAAUCAUAGUACCUGUGAAGAUGCAGGUUACCCGCGACAGGACGGAAAGACCCCGUGGAGCUUUACUGUAGCCUGAUAUUGAAAUUCGGCACAGCUUGUACAGGAUAGGUAGGAGCCUUUGAAACGUGAGCGCUAGCUUACGUGGAGGCGCUGGUGGGAUACUACCCUAGCUGUGUUGGCUUUCUAACCCG
RNAcentral lists this ribosomal RNA (558 nucleotides) under Klebsiella pneumoniae. Its description in RNAcentral is "bacterial LSU rRNA". It matches the Rfam family "Bacterial large subunit ribosomal RNA", at positions 1649 to 2229 of the family's 2925-position model. Lineage: Bacteria; Pseudomonadati; Pseudomonadota; Gammaproteobacteria; Enterobacterales; Enterobacteriaceae. The record is from RNAcentral.